Molecule: ribosomal RNA, 470 nt
Filed under: uncultured bacterium
Lineage: Bacteria
Description: bacterial SSU rRNA
Rfam family: Bacterial small subunit ribosomal RNA
Source: RNAcentral
UCGAGAAUCUUCCGCAAUGGACGAAAGUCUGACGGAGCGACGCCGCGUGCGGGAUGAAGGCCCUUGGGUUGUAAACCGCUGUCAGAGGGGAUGAAAUCUUCGAAGGUUAUCCUUCGAAGUUGACAGAGCCUCAAGGGAAGCACGGGCUAAGUACGUGCCAGCAGCCGCGGUAACACGUACUGUGCGAACGUUAUUCGGAAUCACUGGGCUUAAAGGGUGCGUAGGCGGCGAUACAAGUCAGGUGUGAAAUGCCGGAGCUCAACUGCGGCAUUGCGCUUGAAACUGUGUUGCUGGAGUAUUUCAGGGGUGUGGGGAACUGCCAGUGGAGCGGUGAAAUGUGUUGAUAUUGGCAGGAACACCGGAGGCGAAAGCGCCACACUGGGGGAAUAACUGACGCUGAGGCACGAAAGCCAGGGGAGCGAACGGGAUUAGAUACCCGCGUAGUCCCUGAGCGGGCUGGCAAGGCGCAU